This 496-nucleotide ribosomal RNA is filed under the name uncultured bacterium. RNAcentral's name for it is "partial 16S ribosomal RNA". It matches the Rfam family "Bacterial small subunit ribosomal RNA", at positions 28 to 507 of the family's 1533-position model. The record is from RNAcentral.
GAUGAACGCUGGCGGCGUGCCUAAUACAUGCAAGUCGAGUGAACAGAUGAGGAGCUUGCUCCUCUGACGUUAGCGGCGGACGGGUGAGUAACACGUGGAUAACCUACCUAUAAGACUGGGAUAACUUCGGGAACCGGAGCUAAUACCGGAUAAUAUAUUGAACCGCAUGGUUCAGUAGUGAAAGACGGUUUUGCUGUCACUUGUAGAUGGAUCCGCGCCGCAUUAGCUAGUUGGUAAGGUAAAGGCUUACCAAGGCAACGAUGCGUAGCCGACCUGAGAGGGUGAUCGGCCACACUGGAACUGAGACACGGUCCAGACUCCUACGGGAGGCAGCAGUAGGGAAUCUUCCGCAAUGGGCGAAAGCCUGACGGAGCAACGCCGCGUGAGUGAUGAAGGUCUUCGGAUCGUAAAACUCUGUUAUUAGGGAAGAACAAAUGUGUAAGUAACUAUGCACGUCUUGACGGUACCUAAUCAGAAAGCCACGGCUAACUACGUG